AAGUCGUAACAAGGUUUCCGUAGGUGAACCUGCGGAAGGAUCAUCAACAAUUAGACCGAUCAACGGUCUGUUUGAUAUUCUUGACGAGAUUGACCAGGAUAUGGUCUGAUCUUUGACUAAGCGGUCUGUUAGACCGUGAUGGUCUGAUCUUUGACUAAGCGGUCUGUUAGACCGUGAUGGUCUGGUCUUUGACUAAGCGGUCUGUUAGACCGUGACCGUCUGGACUUUUAUACCCCAAACUUUUACUGAACAGGAUUACAGACCGGUUGUGGUGUAAUGCCGCCGGUAUACAAACCAAUUUAAAACUUUCGGCAAUGGAUCUCUCGGCUCUCC
Molecule: unclassified non-coding RNA, 333 nt
Filed under: fungal sp.
Lineage: Eukaryota; Fungi
Description: partial internal transcribed spacer region
Rfam family: Eukaryotic small subunit ribosomal RNA (bases 1-46)
Source: RNAcentral